GUGCUCACUUCAGCAACACAUAUACUAAAAUUGGAACGAUAUACAGAAGAUUAGCAUGGCCCCUGCACAAGGACAACAAAUUUGUGAAGCAUUCCAUAUUAAA
Molecule: small nuclear RNA, 103 nt
Organism: Nomascus leucogenys (northern white-cheeked gibbon)
Lineage: Eukaryota; Metazoa; Chordata; Mammalia; Primates; Hylobatidae
Source: Ensembl